Long non-coding RNA from Harmonia axyridis, 330 nucleotides. RefSeq lists it as uncharacterized. NCBI's taxonomy places the organism in Eukaryota, Metazoa, Arthropoda, Insecta, Coleoptera, Coccinellidae. The transcript is spliced from 2 exons. The record is from RefSeq and is a predicted model, not a curated record.
UUUGGGGUUAUUCAUAGAAUUAUAUCUGAAUAAGUUGUCACUUUGACAUUUAAGGUUCAAAUCGGUGAACAUAAAUAAUCACAGAAUUAUAUUUUAACCGAAUGUCAGUUUGACAAUCUCCAUGUUUUCUGAAAAACGUUAUAAUUUUCUUACUUAAUUAAAAUUCUUUUAUUUUAAAUUAUCAAAAAUGUGCCGGUAGCUUCAUGGUUUGACGAUAUGAAUGAUUCUGAACUAUUGGAUUUGAUACCUUUCUUUGAGAAACUCAGCAAAAUGGACAAUGUAUACACAGUGUUGUGCAACUCGAACCAUCCGUAUAAUAAUGGAGGACCA